RNAcentral lists this microRNA precursor (104 nucleotides) under Microtus ochrogaster (prairie vole). RNAcentral describes it as "miRNA (ENSMOCG00000008653.1)". Lineage: Eukaryota; Metazoa; Chordata; Mammalia; Rodentia; Cricetidae. The record is from RNAcentral.
GAAAUGCCUCCUUGAGAUCCAGCUGUAAGGCAUUUUCUCAUUUAGUGAUUAAUAGGGGAAGGCCCAGCCCAUGGUAAGUGGGUACCAUCUCUGGGCUGCUGGUC